UACGUGGGGUCCGAGCGUUGUUCGGAAUUACUGGGCGUAAAGCGCACAUAGGCGGGCGAGAUAGUCGAUUGUGAAAGCCCUAGGCUAAACCUGGGAACUGCAGUCGAAACUUCUCGUCUUGAAUGCCUGAGAGGGUGGGGGAAUUCCUGGUGGAGUAGUGAAAUACGUAGAGAUCAGGAGGAACACCGGAGGCGAAGGCGCCUGCCUGGCGGUGCAUUGACGCUAAUUGUGCGAAAGCGCGGGGAGCAAACAGG
Molecule: ribosomal RNA, 254 nt
Filed under: uncultured bacterium
Lineage: Bacteria
Description: partial 16S ribosomal RNA
Rfam family: Bacterial small subunit ribosomal RNA
Source: RNAcentral